This 222-nucleotide unclassified non-coding RNA is filed under the name Hevea brasiliensis (rubber tree). The record is from RNAcentral. Lineage: Eukaryota; Viridiplantae; Streptophyta; Magnoliopsida; Malpighiales; Euphorbiaceae.
GGGCUAGGGAUAGGAGGCGGUGGGCUUGGGAUGUCGGCCGCGGAGGCGGCGCUGGCGCUGGAGGAGCGGGAGAUGCCGCCGUGCCCGCCCGGGCUUCGCCAGUACGAGACCAUGGUCGUGCUCCGCCCCGACAUGUCCGAGGAGGAGCGCCUCGCCCUCAUACAGCGUUACGAGGAGCUCCUUGUUGCGGGUGGCGCCAUGUAUGUGGAAGUCUUCAACCGA